GAUGAACGCUGGCGGCGUGCUUAACACAUGCAAGUCGAACGAGAAGUGAAGACGGAAACCUUCGGGCGGAAGGCUUUAUUUCGAGUGGCGGACGGGGGAGUAACGCGUGGGUAACCUGCCUCAUACAGGGGGAUAACAGUUGGAAACGACUGUUAAUACCGCAUAAGACCACAGCACCGCAUGGUGCGGGGGUAAAAACUCCGGUGGUAUGAGAUGGACCCGCGUUCGAUUAGCAAGUUGGCGGGGUAACGGCCCACCAAAGCGACGAUCGAUAGCCGAUCUGAGAGGAUGACCGGCCACAUUGGGACUGAGACACGGCCCAAACUCCUACGGGAGGCAGCAGUGGGGAAUAUUGCACAAUGGGGGAAACCCUGAUGCAGCGACGCCGCGUGAGUGAAGAAGUAUUUCGGUAUGUAAAGCUCUAUCAGCAGGGAAGAAAAUGACGGUACCUGAGUAAGAAGCCCCGGCUAACUACGUG
RNAcentral lists this ribosomal RNA (478 nucleotides) under uncultured bacterium. Its description in RNAcentral is "partial 16S ribosomal RNA". It matches the Rfam family "Bacterial small subunit ribosomal RNA", at positions 28 to 507 of the family's 1533-position model. The record is from RNAcentral.